GACGAACGCUGGCGGCGUGCUUAACACAUGCAAGUCGAACGGAAAGGCCCUGCUUUUGUGGGGUGCUCGAGUGGCACGGGUGAGUAACACGUGAGUAACCUGCCCUUGACUUUGGGAUAACUUCAGGAAACUGGGGCUAAUACCGGAUAGGAGCUCCUGCUGCAUGGUGGGGGUUGGAAAGUUUCGGCGGUUGGGGAUGGACUCGCGGCUUAUCAGCUUGUUGGUGGGGUAGUGGCUUACCAAGGCUUUGACGGGUAGCCGGCCUGAGAGGGUGACCGGCCACAUUGGGACUGAGAUACGGCCCAGACUCCUACGGGAGGCAGCAGUGGGGAAUAUUGCACAAUGGGCGGAAGCCUGAUGCAGCAACGCCGCGUGCGGGAUGACGGCCUUCGGGUUGUAAACCGCUUUCGCCUGUGACGAAGCGUGAGUGACGGUAAUGGGUAAAGAAGCACCGGCUAACUACGUG
This 466-nucleotide ribosomal RNA is filed under the name uncultured bacterium. RNAcentral's name for it is "partial 16S ribosomal RNA". It matches the Rfam family "Bacterial small subunit ribosomal RNA", at positions 28 to 507 of the family's 1533-position model. The record is from RNAcentral.